Molecule: long non-coding RNA, 1512 nt
Filed under: Daucus carota (carrot)
Lineage: Eukaryota; Viridiplantae; Streptophyta; Magnoliopsida; Apiales; Apiaceae
Description: long non-coding RNA (DCAR_LNC004751)
Source: RNAcentral
AGCGAUCCGCCUGAUAAUUCCACGUGAAAAAAGAGACGUUUCAACUGUGGCUAGAUACAUGCAGAAACUAAGUCCCAGCCACAAUGGUGAAGGCUUGAAUAGGUGUAACUGGAUUACAGCAAAUAGCGGUGAGAUUCAGUUCAAUUUUAGUCUUUCAGAUGUUAAUCCAAAUAUUAGCACACACAAUAAUAUAUGUAAAUGGUAUAAAUCAUUGUUCGGUUAUGUCAUCUUCGCGUCUCAUACAUGAUCAGCACGCUGCUAUGCAAAGAUUUCUCUAAGGCAGUACAUCAGAUUUCCAGGACAUAAUAGCAUAAACCUUCUCUGUUAAACACAACCACCACAACUAUAACACUUUGUUCUUCCAUAAGAAAUUAUUGAUUUUCCAACUGCCUCAGCUACCUACUAAGAAUAGUAAUGCAGAUUACAAACCAUUUUAUCAGAAGUAGAGUAUUAUAAUUGCUAACUAGAAAGUUGGUAGUUAAUUUCUUUGUUCUUUGUCUGGAUUUAGUAACACAAAGCUUAGUGAACCAAUCAUUGGACUCGAGGUUUCAAUUAUGUAACCACAGCUUAAAAUCAAUGAUAAUAAUGGCACAAUCGCAUACUUUAAUUCAACAAUCCGAAAUAUCAAAUUAAGCAAUUUACAUUAAGACAAAAUUUAAUUCUACCUGCAUUUGACAGUAAUUAAUUUUCAUCUAGUAUGCAUACAUGUAGAUAUAUGUGUGCGUGUGUGUUAGUUUGCGUGUGAAUAUUAACAUCUAGUGACUACAUUUCAACAGAUAAAGUCUAUGUGCAAUUUCACGACGAGUGCUGGGGAAUUCCAGUAUACGACGACAAGUAAGUUACUAUAUGCCUAGUGCUAGUACCAUAUAUUCUGAAUUUCUCAGCCAACUAGUAAGUAAUGGUUAGUUGGUCACAAAACUUGUAAAUUAUGUGACAGUCAGCUGUUUGAACUUCUUGCAAUGUCUGGCAUGCUGAUGGAUUUUAACUGGACUGAGAUUCUGAAGAGGAAAGAUCUAUUCAGGUCAAAUCUCGUGUUUCUUGAUAUAGGUACAUUUUUAUACAGACUCUAUUUCAUAUAUAAAUGUUUAUCGAGGAAAACCUGAAUUAUGCAGAGAAGCAUUCGUGGGAUUUGAUCCAUCAACUGUUGCCAAAAUGGGAGAAAAAGAGAUCAUGGAAAUAUCCUCCAACAAAGCCAUUAUGUUAGCAGAAAGCAGAGUCAGAUGCAUUGUAGACAAUGCAAAAUGCAUCGAAAGGGCAAGUCUCAUUAUAAAUUAGAUAAUGAAUUAUAAAAUAAAGGAUGAAUAUGAGUAAAAUUAAUAUGUUAUCUAUAUUCUUUAUGUAGAUUGUGAAGGAGUAUGGAUCUUUCAGUGGCUAUAUAUGGGGAUAUGUGGAUUACAAACCAGUGAUUAACAGAUUCAGAUAUCCGAGAAACGUACCUCUGAGAUCACCAAAAGCAGAAGCCAUCAGCAAGGACUUGUUGAAGAGAGGGUUUCGAUUUGUUGGACCUGUGAU